AUGUCGUAACAAGGUUUCCGUAGGUGAACCUGCGGAAGGAUCAUUACAGAGCGUGAGGCUCAGUCGUGGCAUCUGCCGCGUGCUGGGCCGACCCUCCCACCCGUGUCGAUUUGUAUCUUGUUGCUUUGGCGGGCCGGGUCGCGUCACCGCAUGUUCUUGCGACAUGCAUCGACCGCCCACCGGCUUCGGCUGGAGCGCGUCCGCCAAAGACCUAAGCAAAACUCAUGUUGUCUUUGUAGUCUAAGCUUUAUUAUUGAAUUGACAAAA
This 267-nucleotide unclassified non-coding RNA is filed under the name plant metagenome. RNAcentral's name for it is "partial contains small subunit ribosomal RNA and internal transcribed spacer 1". The stretch from base 1 to 46 matches the Rfam family "Eukaryotic small subunit ribosomal RNA", at positions 1786 to 1831 of the family's 1831-position model. The record is from RNAcentral.